UAUUGGACAAUGGGGGGAAACCCUGAUCCAGCCAUGCCGCGUGUGUGAAGAAGGCCUUUUGGUUGUAAAGCACUUUAAGCAGUGAAGAAGACUCCAUGGUUAAUACCCAUGGACGGUGACAUUAGCUGCAGAAUAAGCACCGGCUAACUCUGUGCCAGCAGCCGCGGUAAUACAGAGGGUGCAAGCGUUAAUCGGAAUUACUGGGCGUAAAGGGAGCGUAGGUGGCUCUAUAAGUCAGAUGUGAAAUCCCCGGGCUUAACCUGGGAACUGCAUCUAAAACUGUUUCGCUAGAGUAGGUGAGAGGGAGGUAGAAUUUCAGGUGUAGCGGUGAAAUGCGUAGAGAUCUGAAGGAAUACCGAUGGCGAAGGCAGCCUCCUGGCAUAAUACUGACACUGAGGCUCGAAAGCGUGGGUAGCAAACAG
Molecule: ribosomal RNA, 422 nt
Filed under: uncultured bacterium
Lineage: Bacteria
Description: bacterial SSU rRNA
Rfam family: Bacterial small subunit ribosomal RNA
Source: RNAcentral